CCAACGGCCCUUUUCAGGGCCAUCAAAUGUGUUUAAAGCAGUUAAA
Molecule: non-coding RNA, 46 nt
Organism: Aedes aegypti (yellow fever mosquito)
Lineage: Eukaryota; Metazoa; Arthropoda; Insecta; Diptera; Culicidae
Source: Rfam